AAGUCGUAACAAGGUUUCCGUAGGUGAACCUGCGGAAGGAUCAUUAACACUUUCUUUCAAUACAAACCUUGGCGCUCCCUGCUUGGCUCUCGGCUCUGUCUUGAGAGUGCUCUUAUUUCGAUAAGACUCGUGGGGAAAAUAUAUGAGUCUGAUUGGGUGCAAGGUCAAUGGAUCGGGCUGAAUCUCUUCGGAGAUUGGUUCAUUGGCGUCUGCUUCGAGCAGAGACUUCGCUCAUUCGGAUAUCAGCCCCAACCCGGCUGGCCUUUUUUUUUUAAAACUUGCUAGAUUGUACUGAUUUGGGCUUUUCAGAUUGAGAGGAGCAAUCCUUUCUCUGGAGUCCUUAUGGAGAAAUCCAUUAAAUAACAAAACACAACUCUUAACAGCGGAUAUCUCGGUUCUC
Molecule: unclassified non-coding RNA, 400 nt
Filed under: fungal sp.
Lineage: Eukaryota; Fungi
Description: partial internal transcribed spacer region
Rfam family: Eukaryotic small subunit ribosomal RNA (bases 1-46)
Source: RNAcentral